This 372-nucleotide ribosomal RNA is filed under the name uncultured organism. RNAcentral describes it as "partial 16S ribosomal RNA". It matches the Rfam family "Bacterial small subunit ribosomal RNA", at positions 527 to 896 of the family's 1533-position model. The record is from RNAcentral.
GUAGGUGGCAAGCGUUGUCCGGAAUUAUUGGGCGUAAAGCGCGCGCAGGCGGUUCUUUAAGUCUGAUGUGAAAGCCCACGGCUCAACCGUGGAGGGUCAUUGGAAACUGGAGAACUUGAGUACAGAAGAGGAAAGCGGAAUUCCACGUGUAGCGGUGAAAUGCGUAGAGAUAUGGAGGAACACCAGUGGCGAAGGCGGCCUUCUGGUCUGUAACUGACGCUGAGGCGCGAAAGCGUGGGGAGCAAACAGGAUUAGAUACCCUGGUAGUCCACGCCGUAAACGAUGAGUGCUAAGUGUUAGGGGGUUUCCGCCCCCCUUAGUGCUGCAGCCAACGCAUUAAGCACUCCGCCUGGGAGUACGGCCGCAAGGCUG